UGUGAUGGGGAGCGAAAUUUAGUAGCGAAGUAGCUGAUUUCACACUGUCAAGAAAAGUCUCUAUCGAGGUUAAAGGUACCCGUACCGCAAACCGACACAGGUGGGUGAGGAGAGUAUCCUAAGGCCAGCGAGAGAACUGUUGUUAAGGAACUCGGCAAAAUGACCCCGUAACUUAGGGAUAAGGGGUGCCACCAUCAGGUGGCCGCAGAGAAUAGGCCCAAGCGACUGUUUACCAAAAACAUAGGUUUCUGCUAAGUCGCAAGACGAUGUAUAGGAGCUGACGCCUGCCCGGUGCGGUUAAGGGGAUCUGUUAGAGCAAUCGAAGCAGUGAACUUAAGCCCCAGUAAACGGCGGCCGUAACUAUAACGGUCCUAAGGUAGCGAAAUUCCUUGUCGGGUAAGUUCCGACCCGCACGAAAGGCGUAACGAUUUGGGCACUGUCUCAACAACAGACUCGGUGAAAUUGUAAUUCCGGUGAAGAUGCCGGAUACCUGCGACAGGACGGAAAGACCCCAUGGAGCUUUACUGUAGCUUGACAUUGGGUCUUGGUACUACAUGUACAGGAUAGGUGGGAGGCUUUGAAACCAGGACGCCAGUUUUGGCGGAGCCAUCCUUGGGAUACCACCCUUGUAGUACUGGGACUCUAACCAUAGGCCAUGAAUCUGGUCUUGGGACACUGUCAGGUGGGCAGUUUGACUGGGGCGGUCGCCUCCCAAAAGGUAACGGAGGCGCUCAAAGGUUCUCUCAGUACGGUCGGAAAUCGUACGUAGAGUGUAAAGGCAAAAGAGAGCUUGAUUGCAAGACAUACAGGUCGAGCAAGGAUGAAAAUCGGACUUAGUGAUCCGGUGGUUCUGCGUGGAAGGGCCAUCGCUCAACGGAUAAAAGCUACCCUGGGGAUAACAGGCUUAUCUCCCCCAAGAGUCCACAUCGACGGGGAGGUUUGGCACCUCGAUGUCGGCUCAUCACAUCCUGGGGCUGUAGUAGGUCCCAAGGGUUGGGCUGUUCGCCCAUUAAAGUGGUACGCGAGCUGGGUUCAGAACGUCGUGAGACAGUUCGGUCCCUAUCCGUCGCAGGCGUAGGAAAUUUGAGAAGACCUGUCCUUAGUACGAGAGGACCGGGAUGGACGUACCUCUGGUGUACCAGUUGUCCUGCCAAGGGCAUGGCUGGGUAGCUAUGUACGGAAUGGAUAAGCGCUGAAAGCAUCUAAGCGCGAAGCCAACUUCAAGAUAAGAUUUCCCACCGCAAGGGUAAGACCCCAGAAAGACUAUCUGGUUGAUAGGUCGAAGGUGUAAGUGCAGCAAUGUAUUUAGCUUAUCGAUACUAAUAGGUCGAGGACUUGACCAA
RNAcentral lists this ribosomal RNA (1343 nucleotides) under Clostridioides difficile. RNAcentral's name for it is "bacterial LSU rRNA". It matches the Rfam family "Bacterial large subunit ribosomal RNA", at positions 1562 to 2925 of the family's 2925-position model. Lineage: Bacteria; Bacillati; Bacillota; Clostridia; Peptostreptococcales; Peptostreptococcaceae. The record is from RNAcentral.